GGAGUUUCCAAGGAGUCAGUUGAUUCAUUGCAGAAGAGAGGUGGCUCCCUCUGAGCUCAUAAAUCAUGGAAUCCCCUGAAGGUCUUUUGUUUUUCUCAAAGGUGUUCAGGUUUCUCUGCAGCAGUGGUGCAGAAUUAGAUGGAGACUGCUAUUAAAGUCUUUGAAGCUUACUACUGUGGGGAGAGGAUACCAGAAGAAGAGUCAUGGGAAGAGAAAGACAA
Molecule: long non-coding RNA, 221 nt
Filed under: Monodelphis domestica (gray short-tailed opossum)
Lineage: Eukaryota; Metazoa; Chordata; Mammalia; Didelphimorphia; Didelphidae
Description: lncRNA (ENSMODG00000045270.1)
Source: RNAcentral